UUUAAAUUAUUAAAAAUAAACAUCAAUAAAAUCAAAUAACACUUAAAGAUACAUUUAACAAUGUCUAUGAUUUUUUAGACAGACAUAUAAAAGAGAUUUGAACAAAAAAAACAAUGUAUUUAUCAUAUAAUUUUGUUAGUAAUCAUAACAAUAGGAGACUAUAUUUUAGGUAUUAAAAUAUUAUUGAAAUUGGUCUUGAAAGUUGUUUUUUUUUAUCUGUAAGCACUAAGUAAGGUAUAAGUUAUCCCUUAAAGUGUAUUGUGAUAUUGUUACUACUUCCAGAUAUGAUAGAACUUAUAAUACAAAUGAUAAACAGCAGUUUACAGUGUUAAAACUAUUAAGGAGGAAUGAACUAAAACUAUGCAAGCUUUCCAUAUAGAUAAUGUAUUUAAAAGAACUAUUCUAAAUAUGAUUUUAAAAAUAUUCACUUACAAUUUGAACUAUGGUUGAUUUAAUGAUUGAAAGUAAAGCGUAUGUAGAAUAAUAAAAGGUGAAAGACUUGUGAUAAAUGGCCACUGUUCUGAUUAGAACUAUAUUUUGUUUUAUAUUUUUUACAAUAAAAUUUAUUUGCUUGAAAAUUACCUGUUUUUAAAACUAUUGCUAAUAGAAGUACAGUUUUGACAAAUUAUUGUUACCAAGUAUAUGGGUUAACCAAAGCAUGCUUUGAUAGUAUUUUUGAUUCAACAAAUCUAAAUCCCUGAGUAUAAACCUAAAAGUUUAUAU
RNAcentral lists this long non-coding RNA (723 nucleotides) under Mytilus galloprovincialis (Mediterranean mussel). Lineage: Eukaryota; Metazoa; Mollusca; Bivalvia; Mytilida; Mytilidae. The record is from RNAcentral.